AUUGAACGCUGGCGGCAGGCCUAACACAUGCAAGUCGAACGAGUGGCGGACGGGUGAGUAAUGUCUGGGAAACUGCCUGAUGGAGGGGGAUAACUACUGGAAACGGUAGCUAAUACCGCAUACUAUCGGAUGUGCCCAGGUGGGAUUAGCUAGUAGGUGUGGUAAAGGCUCAACUAGGAGACGAUCCCUAGCUGGUCUGAGAGGAUGACCAGCCACACUGGAACUGAGACACGGUCCAGACUCCUACGGGAGGCAGCAGUGGGGAAUAUGGGACAAUGGGCGCAAGCCUGAUGCAGCCAUGCCGCGUGUAUGAAGAAGGCCUUCGGGUUGUAAAGUACUUUCAGCGGGGAGGCGUUACCCGCAGAAGAAGCACCGGCUAACUCCGUGCCAGCAGCCGCGGUAAUAC
RNAcentral lists this ribosomal RNA (406 nucleotides) under uncultured bacterium. RNAcentral's name for it is "partial 16S ribosomal RNA". It matches the Rfam family "Bacterial small subunit ribosomal RNA", at positions 30 to 526 of the family's 1533-position model. The record is from RNAcentral.